Molecule: long non-coding RNA, 382 nt
Organism: Carassius carassius (crucian carp)
Lineage: Eukaryota; Metazoa; Chordata; Actinopteri; Cypriniformes; Cyprinidae
Exons: 3
Source: RefSeq, a predicted model, not a curated record
GUUGACAUCGUACGAAAGUGUGUCGUCUGUGAGCAUGUUUCCUAAGGUACAUUUCAUCUUCUUCCCGUACAAAUGAGUGCGGUUGGCAGCUCCUGUUGGGGUUCUUCACGUGCUGCAGAAACUGGCGCUGCCUACUAGAUUCGUACCUAAGGAUUCUGCAUACUAAGUCCAAUUCUGUGCUGGCUGUGCUACCAAGCAAGCUUGUGAUGUCCGAAAGCAAAACAUGGAGCUGUAAUCAUAACAGUGUGUCAAACAGACAUGGCAGUGGAAUCACUAGCUGCAGAGAUUCUGAAGGGCUUUGGGUUCCAGGCUGAACUCAGAGCCACAGAACAGAGUUUCACCUGGUAUUUAAUGUGUGUGUGUGUGUGUGUGUGUGUGUGUG